This 667-nucleotide ribosomal RNA is filed under the name Capnocytophaga sp. Melo48. Its description in RNAcentral is "bacterial SSU rRNA". It matches the Rfam family "Bacterial small subunit ribosomal RNA", at positions 71 to 737 of the family's 1533-position model. Lineage: Bacteria; Pseudomonadati; Bacteroidota; Flavobacteriia; Flavobacteriales; Flavobacteriaceae. The record is from RNAcentral.
AAGUUACUUUCGGGUAACAGAGACCGGCGUACGGGUGCGUAACGCGUAUACAAUCUGCCUUUCACUGGGGGAUAGCCCGAAGAAAUUUGGAUUAAUACCCCAUAGUAUAGUARURUGGCAUCRYRCAACUAUUAAAGCYYUGGUGGUGAAAGAUGAGUAUGCGUUCUAUUAGCUAGUUGGAGAGGUAACGGCUCCCCAAGGCGAUGAUAGAUAGGGGUUCUGAGAGGGAUGUCCCCCACACUGGUACUGAGAUACGGACCAGACUCCUACGGGAGGCAGCAGUGAGGAAUAUUGGACAAUGGUCGGAAGACUGAUCCAGCCAUGCCGCGUGCAGGAUGAAGGUCUUAUGGAUUGUAAACUGCUUUUGUAAGGGAAGAAUAAGGAGUACGAGUACUUUGAUGACGGUACCUUAUGAAUAAGCAUCGGCUAACUCCGUGCCAGCAGCCGCGGUAAUACGGAGGAUGCGAGCGUUAUCCGGAAUCAUUGGGUUUAAAGGGUCUGUAGGCGGGCUGGUAAGUCAGAGGUGAAAGCGCUUAGCUCAACUAAGCAACUGCCUUUGAAACUGUUGGUCUUGAAUGGUUGUGAAGUAGUUGGAAUGUGUAGUGUAGCGGUGAAAUGCUUAGAUAUUACACAGAACACCGAUAGCGAAGGCAUAUUACUAACAAUU